RNAcentral lists this long non-coding RNA (2943 nucleotides) under Homo sapiens (human). RNAcentral describes it as "HSALNT0043832". Lineage: Eukaryota; Metazoa; Chordata; Mammalia; Primates; Hominidae. The record is from RNAcentral.
GUUGGUAGAUUCAGCUGUGCUGGGCAUCCUGGCUGAGUAACAGAGACAGUGAAUGUAAACAAUUAAGAUGUUCUAAUAAAGGAACCCAAAGAGGGUCCCAGAGGCUAGAAUAUCUACCUCCUGGGGGCAAACAGAGGUUUCCUAAGAACAUGUCAUCUGAGCAGAGUCCUCAAGUAAGACUAGGAGUUGCAUGGGGAGAGGAGGGGAAGGUAGGCCUGCAGACGGCUAGGUGAGCACAGGCACGGGGUGUGGAACAUUUAGCUUAUGGCAAGAGCAGAGGGUACAAAGGAAGGAGAGAGAGGAGGUGGGAUGGGAAGGUCAAUUGUGCCAACUAAGAUUUUUUUCCUGUAGUAAGGGGGAGGGAGGGCCUGAAGGACUUUAAACAGGUGAGCCAUGCAAUCAGCUGUGCUUUGGGAGGAUAGCUCUGGUGGUGACAUGGAGCCUUGAGGAUGGGACUAUACGCAUGAGACUGGGAUCAGAGUGGAGGCAGCUGGCAAGGAGGCAGUCAGGAGACCCUACUAAUAUAGGGAAUCCAAAUGAAGGAGAAAAAUCAUGAUGGCACAGCUAGAAACUAAUAGAGAAGAAAAAAUACCCCAGGCAUUUUGGCCUUGUUUUACAACAUAUUUCUUAGCUUUUUGAUGGCAAUGGAAGCUUUUUUGAAGUUGUCUUUUGUUUCCUGCCUUUACUGUAUGCUCUGAAUUCCCUUCUCUUUCAUGCUUUUUGGUUUGCAUCUAUUCUUUCAUAUUGGAGGCUUUGCUCAAACAUUCUGUGGACCUUAUCUGUUUGCAUAUAUUUAAAUGCAAGGCACUGAAAGACAAAAGACCUAUUCAAGGCAGAGUACAAAGUGGACCAGGGCAGGCUGAUUUCUCAACCUCUCUGUCGUGAGUUGACUCGUGUACUCCCAAAAGCUAUGUUGAAGUUCUAACCCCGGUACCUGUGAAUGUGGCCAUGUUUGGAAAUAGGGUCUUUGCAGAUGUUAGUUAUCAAGGUAAGGUGAGAUCAUAUUGGAUUAGAAUGGGCCCUAAAUCCAAUGGUUUGUGUCUUUAUAAGAAGGUCAUGUGAAAACACAGACACAAAAGAACGUUAUGUGAAGGCAGAGGCAGAGGAUGUCAAGAACUGCUAGCAGCCAUCAGCAACGAGGAGAGAUGCAUGGAACGGACUCUCCCUCAGAGCCUUCACAAGGAACCACCCCUGCUGACACCUGAAUUCUAGCUUCUAGAACUGUUUUCUUAGUGUGAAAUAUGAACUCAUGAGCAUCUGGCCUGGGAACUGGACCAGUUUUAAAUCUCGUGUUGAGAGCCGGAAGAUGCUGGAGAAGGAAUGUGGUGGAAUGACUGCCUGAGAAUGAACCAUUCUCCAGUGAGAGGGGGCUUCGAUAUUGAAAGGGCAAUUUGGCCUUAACUUGGAAAUGCUGGAGAUUGAUUGCAUACAAUCUGUCCUGCUAGUGAGAGAAGCAAGGACUGCAUCUAAGUGCAACAUGAAGACUUUUGGUCCCAAGCUUUCCUCCAACUUCAGUGGGAGGCAGCCCAAAACCACCGUCGGUUCAAGAAUACAAGUGACCUGCAAUUCUUGGAAAGACUCCCCCAAUUCUUCUCCCAAUAUGUGGUCAGCUUUUCCAGCAGGAUUAGGGAGGGAGGAGUUUCAGCUGUGCUUCUAAGAUCUUCCAGAAUGAAUUUUCUACCUCAAAAAUCAAGGACUUUUCUGGAAACUGCAGUCAGAGGACAGAACAUCAGCCUCAAGCUGUAGGAAAAACAUUUAUUUUGUGGUGGGGUGUGUACCUCAGUAUUCCCUGUGCUAGAAGAAAAGAAGCACUUUCAAGGAAGGUGGGUAAGGUUUUUUCCCCCUUUUCUGGAAACCAGCUGAGAAACUUUGCCUUGGAGCGCCAUCUAGAGGAAGCCUCAGCACACACACGCUGUGCUUUCUUAGCCUUAUGACAUGACCCAGGUUGAAUCCAAUGGUUGGUACAUGAGAAAUGGAAAUGUAAAGGAGAAGGCCUGCCAGUUCCUACGAAUGAGAAAUGAUCUUCCACCAUCACUAAGCACACUUACGGUUAACAUCGCGAACAUCAGCUGACACACGUUGAAGCUCCAUGAACAUCCGGAGAGCAGCUGUGAUCAUGGCAUCAACGUCGAGAGAAAAGUCAUCAAAAUGAAUGUCAUCGAUGGCAAGUUCUGACACCAGAGGGAUGUUGGCUGCCUAGAAAAGCAAAAGACAUAAGUCAAGCCAAGUUCACCAGCUUUCCCAAACCCCCAUCCUGCUCUCCUCCCCUGCUUAUCAGAAGUGCCACAUAAAUCAGGCCUGACCUGCACUUACACCCUGAUACAGCUAAACUCUGAGCUGUAAAUGUCUUUUGUUUCUGAACUGCAAAUGCCCCAAGCAAAUGAAGGUGGGGGCAGGGUUGGGGGCGGGGGGAGGGAAACUAAUCUGAAGAUAAAAUACACGCACUGGAUCUAGCCUGCAGAAUUUAUAAUACAGAACUGUCAAGUUUAUGGAAACUGUGGUCAUACAAUAUAUUCUGAUGCAUAUUACAGAGCACUAAAUGCAAGAAACAUCUGGGCAGCCAGCAGCUGUGAAUUUUAAUUGAUGCUAUUCAGGAGAAGGAGAAGGGAAUACACCACUUUGCCUUGUUUCUUAUAUCCUUAUAUCCUGUAGCUUGCACGUGUUCUUUGUUACACACGUGUUCUGUAUAUUCAGAAUGAUCGAAAGGAUCAGACAGCACAUCUCUGGUGGGAAAUAUGUUGCCUUAAUAAAAUAGAGAUAUCUGAAGGUUUAGCAUAAGCCUAUGUUUCACUGAGGAGAUCAAUUUUGCUUUCUUGUUUAGCUUCAUUCUAUAUAAACAUCACAACAUAAUUACAAUACUGGUCAUACAUAUUCAAGGUUUUCAAAACACCCAUGUUAGGCAACUGUCAAUCAGCUGCCCACAAACGAGCCUAAAGAGGAGAA